UAAGAGGUGGAUCACGGUUCAAGCGAGGCCGGGGAGGCGUUGGGCAGCAGCAACAAGGGGACUGCGCAGACGUCGGGCGCCUGGCAGAGGGAAGCAGCAACGGCGGCGUUCACGGCGUCGAUGAAGCGUCGGCAGCAGCGCGGUGGCGGUGCUGCGGGUCAGCGGCGGAGGUCAGGUGCGGGCGUCGCUGAGGGCGGCCGGACGGCUGGGGGCGUGGCGGACGGAGACUGGCAGGGCGCGAGCGUCUGCGCGAGGAAGACAAACAGUAACCUGUUUUUCUUUUUCUUUUCUCUCACCUCACGUCACUCACCAAUCUUCUCUCUCCUUUUUAUCUGUUCUGCAGCUGACUUUUACCUUUUCUUGUCAGGGAAAGAAAAGGAAAAAGACCUUUUCUUUGACCAAGGUAGACGAGGCCUUCUUCUUACGCCGAUUUUCUUCGAAAUCGCUCUUGAAUUUUUCUCUCAGAUUUCUCCCAUUCG
Molecule: long non-coding RNA, 479 nt
Filed under: Eucalyptus grandis
Lineage: Eukaryota; Viridiplantae; Streptophyta; Magnoliopsida; Myrtales; Myrtaceae
Description: long non-coding RNA (EGRA_LNC000422)
Source: RNAcentral